RNAcentral lists this ribosomal RNA (515 nucleotides) under Phlebiodontia caspica. RNAcentral's name for it is "eukaryotic LSU rRNA". The stretch from base 70 to 223 matches the Rfam family "5.8S ribosomal RNA". Lineage: Eukaryota; Fungi; Basidiomycota; Agaricomycetes; Polyporales; Meruliaceae. The record is from RNAcentral.
AGCCUUGUCUAUGUUUAUUACAAACGCUUCAGUUAAAGAAUGUUACUUUGCGUCUAACGCAUUAAAUACAACUUUCAGCAACGGAUCUCUUGGCUCUCGCAUCGAUGAAGAACGCAGCGAAAUGCGAUAAGUAAUGUGAAUUGCAGAAUUCAGUGAAUCAUCGAAUCUUUGAACGCACCUUGCGCUCCUUGGUAUUCCGAGGAGCAUGCCUGUUUGAGUGUCAUGGUAUUCUCAACCUUUAAUGCUUUUUGCAAUGAAGGCUUGGAUUUGGAGGUCGUGUUGGCGCAAGUCAACUCCUCUUAAAUGUAUUAGUGUGAACCUUACGGAUCGCCUUCAGUGUGAUAAUUGUCUACGCUGUGGUGUUGAAGUAUAUUCGUGUUCAUGCUUCUAAUCGUCCGCAUGGACAAACUUUACUUGACAAUCUGACCUCAAAUCAGGUAGGACUACCCGCUGAACUUAAGCAUAUCAAUAAGCGGAGGAAGAUCUUAACGAGUUUUGAAAUGGGUUGUAGCUGG